AUUGAACGCUGGCGGCAGGCCUAACACAUGCAAGUCGAGCGGAUGAAGGGAGCUUGCUCCUGGCUUCAGCGGCGGACGGGUGAGUAAUGCCUAGGAAUCUGCCUGGUCGUGGGGGAUAACGUCCGGAAACGGGCGCUAAUACCGCAUACGUCCUGAGGGUGAAAGUGGGGGUUCUUCGGACCUCACGCUAUCAGAUGAGCCUAGGUCGGAUUAGCUAGUUGGUGGGGUAAAGGCCUACCAAGGCGACGAUCCGUAACUGGUCUGAGAGGAUGAUCAGUCACACUGGAACUGAGACACGGUCCAGACUCCUACGGGAGGCAGCAGUGGGGAAUAUUGGACAAUGGGCGAAAGCCUGAUCCAGCCAUGCCGCGUGUGUGAAGAAGGUCUUCGGAUUGUAAAGCACUUUAAGUUGGGAGGAAGGGCAGUAAGUUAAUACCUUGCUGUUUUGACGUUACCAACAGAAUAAGCACCGGCUAACUUCGUG
RNAcentral lists this ribosomal RNA (484 nucleotides) under uncultured bacterium. RNAcentral's name for it is "partial 16S ribosomal RNA". It matches the Rfam family "Bacterial small subunit ribosomal RNA", at positions 30 to 507 of the family's 1533-position model. The record is from RNAcentral.